This is a long non-coding RNA of Polypterus senegalus (gray bichir), 1573 nucleotides long. RefSeq lists it as uncharacterized. The record is from RefSeq and is a predicted model, not a curated record. The transcript is spliced from 2 exons. Lineage: Eukaryota; Metazoa; Chordata; Cladistia; Polypteriformes; Polypteridae.
AAAUUAGAAAUCUGCUGUCCACCGGCUCAAGCCGCAGACUAGCCUUCUCAGGAAAGAAUCGUGGAGGCAUCAACGUUUCUCCCUAUACGCGCAAAGGGCGACCUGGGGAAAUUGAAGAGCUGGGGAAUGGGGGCGGGGUCUUACCAUCUGCAGAGCAGCGAUAAAUCAGGCGGCUGUGCAGCAAUUUCACUGGCUGUCGGUGGCUGCAAAAGGAGGGUUCCGCGUCUGCAGAUGCUCAGGUGGGUGGGGUACUUUUCGUUAAGCCCAGCCUGCUGCUAGGGUCUCAGCGGUGAUGACAUUACCACCAGCGGCACCCUCACAUCCAGCUUCAGUUUACGUUGUCAGUAUCCAAACAAGGACUCACUAGAAGAGUUGCUGCAUUUCCAGUGUAUGACUGAGGAGGCAGCCUCCCAACCAGGAACACCAACCGUCCCAGCCAGCAUGCCCCACAGUGUCCCUCUGGAACUGAAAAUUCAGGACAACAGAGGCUGACACACAUGAAGAUACUGAGGAAAGACAUAGGAGGAAGACCUUCAAACACAAGUAUUCAAAGAAUAUGAAUGAUGAAUAUAUGUAUAUAUAUACUGUAUAAUAUAGCUUUACUCCACCUUUUCAACCUAUCAACACUAUUUAUUUUUAUUGAGAGUGAAGUGUAAGUAAGAAUACCACUCUGUUUGUGAACUACAGAAAAUAAAAAAAAUAAGCCAGAAGUCUGCUAUGACAAGCAAAGGGAACUUGGCCAGAUUCUCAAAGAAAGAAAAAAAUGCGUUUCUCUUGUUAUCCAUUACCUCUGUCGCCUGUAUCCAGUAGAAGUCUCUUCCCAAAUGAUUUCCUGGGUGUGGCAGUCCAUAGAAAAUGUUAAUCGCAGACAUUCACUUGGUUCCCCUCCCCCAAGGCUGACAGUUAUAGUCUAGAAGCUGAAAUGCAAAAAAAAAUACAGCAGCUGCUCAAUAAUAGAGCUUUGAGGGGCAGGGGAUGGACGUGACUAGCAUCUGCAAUUUUCAGAAAGCGAGUUAAUAUUUUGAGUUUAUGUUCAAUGUACUCUGAAGGCUCCUCUGCAUUCAUUUGCACUGCUACUGCCAGUAGAAGCCUCAUAUGCACACACACACUCCACCCCCCCCCUAUCAGGCUUGCUGCAGUGAAGUCACUUCUGCCGCAUGAUCACAUGACUGCUGGGGUGAUCAGUGAGCAUCCCACACGUCUUACCACAUCCUUGGAACAAGGACUGGCAUUAUUUAUUUAUUACUCUGAAAUACUGCAAUGCUUUGAUUAUCUGUUCAACAUCUGAUGUUCAUUUUUUACUUCGUUCCUGACUAGCAGUUGAUUAUACUGCCCAACAACAGCUUAUACUCAGUAGGAAUGGAGCAGGUGGACACAUAAGCACCCCGUGGCCUAGAUCUGAGUGAAGAUGGACUGGAGAGUCAGUAAUAGAUUCUUUGUGUGUUAAUCUGGAAGACUGACAAGUCUGUCUCCUUGGCAACCAUGCUACUGCAACUCUUUUUGUGACAGUGACACAUUGUAUCCGAAUUGCAUUGUGAAUAAAAAAGCUGUGUAUUGUAUUUUUUUAAAAUCC